Marasmius sp. AFHP31 is the source of this 92-nucleotide non-coding RNA. Lineage: Eukaryota; Fungi; Basidiomycota; Agaricomycetes; Agaricales; Marasmiaceae. The record is from the annotation of a GenBank genome assembly.
UCCCUCUUAGCUCAGUGGUAGAGCGCUUCACUAGUAUGUUCAAGCCACCAAAUACAAUGAAGAGGUCAGUCGUUCAAGUCGGCUAGAGGGAA